This 98-nucleotide ribosomal RNA is filed under the name uncultured bacterium. RNAcentral describes it as "partial 16S ribosomal RNA". It matches the Rfam family "Bacterial small subunit ribosomal RNA", at positions 258 to 353 of the family's 1533-position model. The record is from RNAcentral.
GAAUGGCUCACCAAGGCGACGAUGCGUAGCCGACCUGAGAGGGUGAUCGGCCACAUUGGGACUGAGACACGGCCCAGACUCCUACGGGAGGCAGCAUG